CACCUUUUGACAUGCCUGGACCGCCAGAGAGAUCUGGCUUUCCCUUCGGGGACUAGGACACAGGUGCUGCAUGGCUGUCGUCAGCUCGUGUCGUGAGAUGUUGGGUUAAGUCCCGCAACGAGCGCAACCCUCGCCAUUAGUUGCCAUCAUUUAGUUGGGAACUCUAAUGGGACUGCCGGUGCUAAGCCGGAGGAAGGUGGGGAUGACGUCAAGUCCUCAUGGCCCUUACAGGGUGGGCUACACACGUGCUACAAUGGCGACUACAGAGGGUUAAUCCUUAAAAGUCGUCUCAGUUCGGAUUGUCCUCUGCAACUCGAGGGCAUGAAGUUGGAAUCGCUAGUAAUCGCGGAUCAGCAUGCCGCGGUGAAUACGUUCC
This 376-nucleotide ribosomal RNA is filed under the name uncultured bacterium. RNAcentral's name for it is "bacterial SSU rRNA". It matches the Rfam family "Bacterial small subunit ribosomal RNA", at positions 975 to 1374 of the family's 1533-position model. The record is from RNAcentral.